RNAcentral lists this unclassified non-coding RNA (289 nucleotides) under Hevea brasiliensis (rubber tree). Lineage: Eukaryota; Viridiplantae; Streptophyta; Magnoliopsida; Malpighiales; Euphorbiaceae. The record is from RNAcentral.
AAAGAGAUCAAAUUUGGUUCAGCCAUUUUUACGUUUUGGUACGCAAAAGUACCAUGUUUUGGAACAUCUGUUCUGGAACGCUGUUCAGAGAGAGGGGAAGGGGCAACGUUUUAGGUAACACUGUCCCUGCCACUGCAACAGCUUAUAUAAGGUUUUGAUGAAUGACCUGGUUAAACCACUAGGGGUAUGACAUUUUUGAAAUUUAUGCCUUUAUGCUGAAACACUUAAGGACUAUUAAUACAAAUUAAGUUCUUAACUUCUUAUUUGACUCAACUGAAGUCUAACGAAA